This is a long non-coding RNA of Oncorhynchus tshawytscha (Chinook salmon), 1922 nucleotides long. NCBI's taxonomy places the organism in Eukaryota, Metazoa, Chordata, Actinopteri, Salmoniformes, Salmonidae. The record is from Ensembl.
GCAUGCUUUGUGAAUGCAUACUACUACCCCUUAAACAAAAAUACACCAUGGAAGUCAAAUCAAGCUAGUUUAUUUUAUCCAUAAUAUGAACAGGUAUAAAACUAACAAAAUGUCCCUUUGGACAGAACAUUUUCUACAGGGUGAGCUAGUUUGAUAAACAUGCACAAAUAAGAGACAUUGGACCAGAAAAACAACAAUGCAUUGUCACAAUUAAAAACAAAUAAGUUAAAGCUUAAACAUCAAAAAAUAAUGUCUGCAUAUCAUUGUAAAACAAAUAAUAGGUCUCAGUCUUGGUUUAUUCAUGUAACUAGUUAAACUAACAUGAUGUGUAAUGAAGCAUAUAACGUAGGUGAAUAAAUAUCAGAAUUAAUAGGGAAUGUAUAGGUCUUUAGGUCCUGUCGAUCAUAACAACCCACUUCACUAGCUGCAGGCAAAUUCAAAUCUGGACCUUGAAGCCAGUUCCACUGCUGUUUUUCAUUAUUUCCCUCUAAUCGGGCAUUGAUUUAGACAUGGGACACCAUGUGGGUGCAAUUCAUUUCCCAAGUAGAACAGGUCAUGGCUACAGAGACAGUCUUUUCACAACACUUUGAUACAAAGUUAUUUUUGUAGCAGGUUAGGAAAGCAUUUUCGCUAACCUUAUUAACCUCAGUCUCCUAACCUGCUACGAAAAAGUCACUUCGGUAUCAAAGUGCCGUGAUAAGCGUUUCCCCAUGGCUAGAACAGUUGCAGCUAAUGUCAAAGUGAGAUCAAAAGUAUGUUCGAGUGGCGUUGGGGGAAUUUUUGCAUUUUAGCUAACCCUAACCUAAUUCUCCUAACCUGCUACUUCCAUUUUUAUAACCUGCUGCGUAAAUUCUGCUAACCUGCAAGGAAAAGUCCCUUCUGACAAUCGCUGCAUCCCAUCUAGUCAACCGAUAGAGCAGCACUACGCUGGACCUCCAGGCUCAGAUUUUAAUACCCCUGCAUUAGGGUACUGUUUUUUGAAAUUAGCAUUUUGCUAAUAUUGCCAAUAUGGUGUCCAGUACCACUCUAUCGCCGUUUAAAACUGAGCGACUCCACAACAUGAAAUUGUAACGCCCAUGACAAUUUCACACCAUCGUCAAAGGGAGUUGCAAAUUUGUCAACAAGGUAUUUGCGUAAAGUAAUUGCAUGUUGAGUUUCUCAAUUUCAAACAACUCUGGCGGUAUCAAGCACUGACUAGCCCAGAUAUAACGUGGUAGUGGAAACCACGGUAUUGAAUUUGAGCGCAUUCAAUCUGUCUUAGUUGUAGGUCAAAUCACACCUUUAAAAGUGUGUGUACGUAGGGGUUCUAGUCUGUCGACCGUGUGUGUGUGUGUGCGUAGGGGUUCUAGUCUGUCAACCGUGUAUGGGGUUCUAGUCUGUCAACCGUGUGUGUGUGUGUGUGCGUGUAGGGGUUCUAGUCUGUCGACCGUGUGUGUGUGUGUGUGUACAUAGGGGUUCUAGUCUGCCGACUGUGUGUGUGUGUACAUAGGGGUUCUAGUCUGUCGACUGUGUGUGUGUGUACAUAGGGGUUCUAGUCUGUCGACUGUGUGUGUACAUAGGGGUUCUAGUCUGUCGACUGUGUGUGUACAUAGGGGUUCUGUUCUGUCGACUGUGUGUGUGUGUGUGUGUACAUAGGGGUUCUAGUCUGUCGACUGUGUGUGUGUGUGGGUUCUAGUCUGUCGACUGUGUGUGUGUGUGUGUGUACAUAGGGGUUCUAGUCUGUCGACUGUGUGUGUGUGUGUACAUAGGGGUUCUAGUCUGUCGACUGUGUGUGUGUGUACAUAGGGGUUCUAGUCUGUCGACUGUGUGUGUGUGUACAUAGGGGUUCUAGUCUGUCGACUGUGUGUGUGUGUACAUAGGGGUUCUAGUCUGUCGACUGUGUGUGUGUGGGGUUCUAGUCUGUACAUACAUAGGGGUUCUAG